Molecule: long non-coding RNA, 1089 nt
Filed under: Homo sapiens (human)
Lineage: Eukaryota; Metazoa; Chordata; Mammalia; Primates; Hominidae
Description: MIR3976 host gene
Source: RNAcentral
GACCCUCUCCAUUAACUCUCUCUCUUUCUGAUUGAGUGUAAGCUGCUAUAUGAAGGGAUCCACAAGACGAAUAAUUAAGGGGGACCUCUGAUCAACAGCCAGCAAGGAACUGAAUCCCUCAGACCCACAACUCACAAGAAACUGAAGCUGAAGCAGAUUCUUCCUCAGUCAAGCUUCAGGUGCCCAGCUGUAUUGGUAGAGGAGACCAACCACACCCUCCACAGCACAGCACCUGGAGAGGAACUGCUGCCAUGACCAUAGAGGACACCCUCUGGAUACAAUGCCAGACUUGAUGUGGGACUGACCAACCUAUGGACCCCAGGCACCACCACCCAGACCUGCUCAGCACCUGAAACAUUCACAGCCGUGGAGAGAGAACUGUUCACUGCUACCAUCCACACUUCUGGGCCCCUUCAGCAGCAGGGUGACAAGGAAGAGGGAAAUCGACUUGGAAAAGAGGGGACCUCUGACCCAAGAGUUCGGUCAAUGCAUAUGUUGGCAGCCAGCUGCACAUCGCACCAAAUAUGAACUUCAAAUAGAAGAAAGCCUCAUUUGGAAGAAAGCUCAUGCACAGACUGUAAAUAUUUCAGAGCAGAUUGUGUCUCUGUAGAUUAACAUCAAUUUUGCAGCAGCCAUGGCUUGUCCUAUGAGAGAUGAUUCUACCACAAGAACCCAACCACAAGGACGGCUCCUCUUUGAAGUUUUUACAGUCGAUCUCUGGAUCAGCCAGCGAAGUCCUGCUCCCAGGAUCCAGGGAGAGACCAUGGGUGCCCUCUAGGGCAUGGUACAAAGGGAGGAUUUGUUCCAGUAGAGAAUAGAAUAGGCCUUUUCUUUCACCUUUUGGUUUCCAGGUGCUGAACUACAUGUAGGAGUCUUGGUAGUAAAACCAAGCUUAAUGGUUAUUGAAAUAGAACUACCAGAGAGGUGGUAGAAGCACAUGUUUUGUACAAGUUGGUUAACUGCCAGCAGCUUUGAAUCGUGUAACUGCUUACAAAAAAUUUCACAUGGUCCAGGAAUAAGAGGAAACAAAUGUAUGAAAAACAAAUUCCCAGAUACUUACAUUUAAAAUAAAAAGCAAACUAACAAUAA